This 360-nucleotide long non-coding RNA is filed under the name Daucus carota (carrot). RNAcentral's name for it is "long non-coding RNA (DCAR_LNC003746)". Lineage: Eukaryota; Viridiplantae; Streptophyta; Magnoliopsida; Apiales; Apiaceae. The record is from RNAcentral.
UAUUGUCCGCUCUGGGCCGUGGCCAAGCCCGCACGGAUUUGCUUUCGGGCUCCUCCCAAAAGGCCUCAUACUAAUGGAGUUCUUUGGCUGCUUAUAUUCAAGAUAAACCUUCUUUAUCUUUCCGAUGUGGGACUUGGGUUGAACCCACUCAACAAUCUCCCCUCAAUCCAAGAACCACUAAUCUUGUGACCCUCGUACCGCCGCUAUUUAUCCGUUUCUCAUCUUGCGGGACACGCCGUCCGACUACCUUUGUCGGAAAGACUUUCGACACAAGCCGUCCAAGACCUCCUAUCAUAGUUCUGGAGAGCCUCCCCACAUCACACAACUACAGCCUGCAACCUCGGGAUCGACUUCUUAACC